RNAcentral lists this ribosomal RNA (509 nucleotides) under uncultured bacterium. Its description in RNAcentral is "bacterial SSU rRNA". It matches the Rfam family "Bacterial small subunit ribosomal RNA", at positions 85 to 573 of the family's 1533-position model. The record is from RNAcentral.
GAUUAGUAGAGUGGCAAACGGGUGAGUAACACGUGGGUGACCUGCCUUCGAGUGGGGGAUAACGUCCCGAAAGGGACGCUAAUACCGCAUGACAUCCUGCUUUUUAACAGGCGGAGAUCAAAGCCGGGGAUCGCAAGACCUGGCGCUUGGAGAGGGGCCCGCGUCCGAUUAGCUAGUUGGUGAGGUAACGGCUCACCAAGGCGACGAUCGGUAUCCGGCCUGAGAGGGCGGACGGACACACUGGGACUGAGACACGGCCCAGACUCCUACGGGAGGCAGCAGUGGGGAAUUGUUCGCAAUGGGCGCAAGCCUGACGACGCAACGCCGCGUGGAGGAUGAAGAUCUUCGGGUCGUAAACUCCUUUCGAUCGAGACGAACGGCUUCCGGGUGAACAAUCCGGAAGAGUGACGGUACCGAGAGAAGAAGCCCCGGCUAACUCCGUGCCAGCAGCCGCGGUAAUACGGGGGGGGCAAGCGUUGUUCGGAAUUACUGGGCGUAAAGGGCUCGUA